CAGCCCAAAUUCUACAUUGACCCUGUAAAUACCAGUUUGUUUUACCCAGCUCUUGUUUCCAUCUUUUAACCUGCUCCUAGCCAUUCUUUCCUUGUGUUUCAUUAACGAAAAUCCUUGAUAAUCUUUUGGUGGAAGGACUGAAUUUUUUAUGCACUUUCAUCUUCAAGCUUUUUGUAACACAAUGGCAUUGAAACUUAGCUCCCAGAAUGAUAUAUUUAGGAGCAAAACUUAAGUUGGUCAUUGCACACAAUAGUUAGGUCUUAAAGUGAUUAUACUGUUUGACACAACUUGAAACAAGGGCAACCAUCCAUGUGGAACGCAAACCAAUUUGCUUUUCUAUCAGCACUUACGUGCACAGGCCUGUUCAGGAGCAAAGCUCAAAGUACCAUGUGCGUGCAUGACAGUUUCAAAGUGAUUACAGCAUAUUAUACAUUGCUGGAAUGCUAGCAUGCGCAAGAGACGCAAACCCUUUUGGUUGCGCAGUUGAUGAUUAAGAGAUUUAGCCAUAUCUU
RNAcentral lists this long non-coding RNA (512 nucleotides) under Phoenix dactylifera (date palm). Its description in RNAcentral is "long non-coding RNA (PDAC_LNC022741)". Lineage: Eukaryota; Viridiplantae; Streptophyta; Magnoliopsida; Arecales; Arecaceae. The record is from RNAcentral.